CUCAGUUGGUAGAGCGGAGGACUGUAGUUUAAGCAGAAAAAUCCUUAGGUCACUGGUUCGAAUCCGGUAGGUCGGA
Molecule: non-coding RNA, 76 nt
Organism: Arabis alpina (gray rockcress)
Lineage: Eukaryota; Viridiplantae; Streptophyta; Magnoliopsida; Brassicales; Brassicaceae
Source: Rfam